UGGGGAAUCUUGCACAAUGGGGGCAACCCUGAUGCAGCGACGCCGCGUGAGCGAUGAAGCCCUUCGGGGCGUAAAGCUCUUUCGACCGGAACGAUAAUGACGGUACCGGGAGAAGAAGCUGCGGCUAACUACGUGCCAGCAGCCGCGGUAAUACGUAGGCAGCAAGCGUUGUUCGGAGUUACUGGGCGUAAAGAGUGCGUAGGCGGUUUUCUAAGUUCGGUGUGAAAUCUCCCGGCUUAACUGGGAGGGUGCGCCGAAGACUGGGAAGCUGGAGUGUGGGAAAGGCAGGCGGAAUUCCUGGUGUAGCGGUGAAAUGCGCAGAUAUCAGGAGCAACACCGGCGGUGUAGACGGCUUGCUAGACCAUAACUGACGCUGAGGCACGAAAGCGUGGGUAGCAAACA
RNAcentral lists this ribosomal RNA (402 nucleotides) under uncultured bacterium. RNAcentral describes it as "bacterial SSU rRNA". It matches the Rfam family "Bacterial small subunit ribosomal RNA", at positions 355 to 774 of the family's 1533-position model. The record is from RNAcentral.